AUUCUACUUGUGGAUUUUCUUUCCACUUUCACUCUCCAUAAACUUUAUAGACCGCAUUAACUUCUGGCAACUUAAGUCGUUUGUGAAUUCUAGAUUGUUAGUUAUGUAUUGCAUUACAUUUGCAACAUUAUGUAUAUAGCAUAAACUGAAACAGUUAUUUUGCUGUUACCCAUUACGAAACUGAUAAAAUCCAUGCUGGUAACCCAAUUGAAAUGUAAAAUUUGUUGAUCAAUACAUUUUG
Molecule: unclassified non-coding RNA, 241 nt
Filed under: Hevea brasiliensis (rubber tree)
Lineage: Eukaryota; Viridiplantae; Streptophyta; Magnoliopsida; Malpighiales; Euphorbiaceae
Source: RNAcentral